UUCCUGUGGCGAUUGUGAGGAUGCUUACUGUUGCCAUAGUGACAGUCCGCUCGACAGUGUAUUUGGAAGACGAUGGCGCAGAGUGUGACAAGGAGGCCGACACAGACACCGCCCAGAAACACCAAGGCAGUCCUCUCAGGCCCAGACUGUGUGGUGGCAGACAGAGAUCAGGAGAGACGUCAGAGGGGAAGUGGGUAUAAGGAGUAACAGAGCUGAAGUCCUGGAGAGGCUCCAGGAGGAUCCUUCCUUCUCAGCAUGGAGAGGAGGACCGGGAGGGAAACAAGAUGAGCGAGGAAAGAGAGGAGACUCCACUGUGUCUGUAUUUCUUUCUUAACUUCCUCUUUAACCUGAUCUGCUGUAAGCUUAUGGCUCCACAGUCUGAGAGACUUUAAUGAAAAAGGUCUGAUUGUGUUUUUAUCUUAUGGAAUGCUUAACUUAAAUUCUAUUAUUAUUCUAAAGGAAAUUUGACCUACAGCAGGCACCAAGACACAAAAAAUACACAAAGAACAACAUCAGACAUAAAUACAAAAAUACUUGAAUUCCUCAGCUCAAGUGAAAACAAAUAUACAGCUACCACACUGAACCAAACACUGAAAUGGUUUGUAAACAGCACAGUAAAUGCAUCGUCAAGUCAAGCUAAGUGCUGUGCAGUGGCAAUAUAUUCACAGCUGUUGUGACAUGAGACUGUGAGACUGCUUUUAACAAAUCCCUUAGCACUGACCUAUUGCUUAAUUGUGCACAUUUAAAAGAUUGUAAUUUCAAUACUUGCUCAAUGAUGAAUAUAUUGACAUGUCUCUGAAAAUCUUCUCACAGCUUUCACAGCUGGUAGUUUGUGGAAAAGACCUUAGCAUCAUCAUCAGUGACCUAUAUCCUUAAAUAUGUACAUUUCAAGGAUGUGAUUUCAAUUGCUGGCUCAUUUGUGAAUAUAUUGAUGUCAAAUCAC
Long non-coding RNA from Epinephelus fuscoguttatus (brown-marbled grouper), 943 nucleotides. RefSeq lists it as uncharacterized. The record is from RefSeq and is a predicted model, not a curated record. The transcript is spliced from 2 exons. Lineage: Eukaryota; Metazoa; Chordata; Actinopteri; Perciformes; Serranidae.